This 641-nucleotide ribosomal RNA is filed under the name uncultured bacterium. RNAcentral describes it as "bacterial SSU rRNA". It matches the Rfam family "Bacterial small subunit ribosomal RNA", at positions 72 to 745 of the family's 1533-position model. The record is from RNAcentral.
AAGUGGAGCAAUCCAUGAGUAAAGUGGCGCACGGGUGAGUAACACGUGACUAACCUACCUUUUUGUGGGGGAUAACCUAGGGAAACCUGGGCUAAUACCGCAUAAUACCUACGGGUCAAAGCAGCAAUGCGCAGAAAGAGGGGGUCGCGGCCGAUUAGCUAGUUGGCGGGGUAAUGGCCCACCAAGGCAGUGAUCGGUAUCCGGCCUGAGAGGGCGCACGGACACACUGGAACUGAAACACGGUCCAGACUCCUACGGGAGGCAGCAGUGGGGAAUUUUGCGCAAUGGGGGAAACCCUGACGCAGCAACGCCGCGUGGAGGAUGAAGUCCCUUGGGACGUAAACUCCUUUCGAUCGGGACGAUAAUGACGGUACCGGAAGAAGAAGCCCCGGCUAACUUCGUGCCAGCAGCCGCGGUAAUACGAGGGGGGCAAGCGUUGUUCGGAAUUAUUGGGCGUAAAGGGUGCGUAGGUGGUUCGGCAAGUCUUGUGUGAAAUCUUCAGGCUCAACUUGAUGUCUGCACAAGAAACUGCCGGGCUUGAGUAUGGGAGAGGUGAGUGGAAUUUCCGGUGUAGCGGUGAAAUGCGUAGAUAUCGGAAGGAACACCUGUGGCGAAAGCGGCUCACUGGACCAUUACUGACA